Molecule: ribosomal RNA, 684 nt
Filed under: uncultured Bacillus sp.
Lineage: Bacteria; Bacillati; Bacillota; Bacilli; Caryophanales; Bacillaceae
Description: SSU rRNA
Rfam family: Bacterial small subunit ribosomal RNA
Source: RNAcentral
CAACCGUGGAGGGUCAUUGGAAACUGGGGAACNNNNNUGCAGAAGAGGAAAGUGGAAUUCCACGUGUAGCGGUGAAAUGCGUAGAGAUGUGGAGGAACACCAGUGGCGAAGGCGACUUUCUGGUCUGUAACUGACACUGAGGCGCGAAAGCGUGGGGAGCGAACAGGAUUAGAUACCCUGGUAGUCCACGCCGUAAACGAUGAGUGCUAAGUGUUAGAGGGUUUCCGCCCUUUAGUGCUGCAGCUAACGCAUUAAGCACUCCGCCUGGGGAGUACGGCCGCAAGGCUGAAACUCAAAGGAAUUGACGGGGGCCCGCACAAGCGGUGGAGCAUGUGNUUUAAUUCGAAGCAACGCGAAGAACCUUACCAGGUCUUGACAUCCUCUGACAACCCUAGAGAUAGGGCCUUCCCCUUUUGGGGGACAGAGUGACAGGUGGUGCAUGGUUGUCGUCAGCUCGUGUCGUGAGAUGUUGGGUUAAGUCCCGCAACGAGCGCAACCCUUGAUCUUAGUUGCCAGCAUUCAGUUGGGCACUCUAAGGUGACUGCCGGUGACAAACCGGAGGAAGGUGGGGAUGACGUCAAAUCAUCAUGCCCCUUAUGACCUGGGCUACACACGUGCUACAAUGGAUGGUACAAAGAGCCCGCAAACCCGCGAGGGUAAGCUAAUCUCGUAAAGCCAUUCUCA